UACGUAGGGUCCGAGCGUUGUCCGGAAUUACUGGGCGUAAAGCGCACGUAGGCGGAUUGUUAAGUCAGGGGUGAAAUCCUGGAGCUCAACUCCAGAACUGCCUUUGAUACUGGCAAUCUUGAGUCCGGAAGAGGUGAGUGGAACUCCUAGUGUAGAGGUGGAAUUCGUAGAUAUUAGGAAGAACACCAGUGGCGAAGGCGGCUCACUGGUCCGGUACUGACGCUGAGGUGCGAAAGCGUGGGGAGCAAACAGG
Molecule: ribosomal RNA, 253 nt
Filed under: uncultured bacterium
Lineage: Bacteria
Description: partial 16S ribosomal RNA
Rfam family: Bacterial small subunit ribosomal RNA
Source: RNAcentral